RNAcentral lists this ribosomal RNA (460 nucleotides) under uncultured bacterium. RNAcentral describes it as "partial 16S ribosomal RNA". It matches the Rfam family "Bacterial small subunit ribosomal RNA", at positions 338 to 795 of the family's 1533-position model. The record is from RNAcentral.
CCUACGGGCGGCAGCAGUGAGGAAUAUUGGUCAAUGGACGAGAGUCUGAACCAGCCAAGUAGCGUGAAGGAUGACUGCCCUACGGGUUGUAAACUUCUUUUAUAUGGGAAUAAAAUGUUCCACGUGUGGGAUUUUGUAUGUACCAUAUGAAUAAGGAUCGGCUAACUCCGGGCCAGCAGCCGCGGUAAUACGGAGGAUCCGAGCGUUAUCCGGAUUUAUUGGGUUUAAAGGGAGCGUAGGUGGAUUGUUAAGUCAGUUGUGAAAGUUUGCGGCUCAACCGUAAAAUUGCAGUUGAAACUGGCAGUCUUGAGUACAGUAGAGGUGGGCGGAAUUCGUGGUGUAGCGGUGAAAUGCUUAGAUAUCACGAAGAACUCCGAUUGCGAAGGCAGUUCACUGGACUGCAACUGACACUGAGGCUCGAAAGUGUGGGUAUCAAACAGGAUUAGAUACCCUUGUAGUC